AACGAACGCUGGCGGCAUGCCUAACACAUGCAAGUCGAACGAGACCUUCGGGCCUAGUGGCGCACGGGUGCGUAACGCGUGGGAACCUGCCCUUAGGUUCGGAAUAACUCCCCGAAAGGGGUGCUAAUACCGGAUAAUGUCUUCGGACCAAAGAUUUAUCGCCUUUGGAUGGGCCCGCGUUGGAUUAGCUAGUUGGUAGGGUAAAAGCCUACCAAGGCGACGAUCCAUAGCUGGUCUGAGAGGAUGAUCAGCCACACUGGGACUGAGACACGGCCCAGACUCCUACGGGAGGCAGCAGUGGGGAAUAUUGGACAAUGGGCGAAAGCCUGAUCCAGCAAUGCCGCGUGAGUGAUGAAGGCCUUAGGGUUGUAAAGCUCUUUUACCCGGGAUGAUAAUGACAGUACCGGGAGAAUAAGCUCCGGCUAACUCCGUG
RNAcentral lists this ribosomal RNA (433 nucleotides) under uncultured bacterium. RNAcentral's name for it is "partial 16S ribosomal RNA". It matches the Rfam family "Bacterial small subunit ribosomal RNA", at positions 29 to 507 of the family's 1533-position model. The record is from RNAcentral.